Molecule: non-coding RNA, 3354 nt
Organism: Solanum lycopersicum (tomato)
Lineage: Eukaryota; Viridiplantae; Streptophyta; Magnoliopsida; Solanales; Solanaceae
Source: RefSeq, a predicted model, not a curated record
UAUAAAUGUUUGUUAAAGUUAAAUUAAAAUGUAAAUUUAUGCAUUAUUAUAAUGAUUAAAGUAAAUGAUAUAUAUAUUAUAGUUUUUGAAACACGGUGUUUCAAAAAGUAUUAUGAAUGAUAUCAACAUAUUAUUUACCAUAGUGUAUAUAUAUUUUUCCCUUUAUCAAAAAUUCAAGAGGAACACUUUGAAUUAUUUUUCAACGGCAAGAGCUAAAAUGUGGUUAUUUGUUGAUUUUAGCAAAUGAUUUUAUUGUUUGAAGCACUCAGUCAGGUCUCAGAACUCCCAAAUCAAACUUUUUGGAAAAUUUGGCAUUUCAUCCCAAAUCAUGAGAUGGAAUUGUUGUCCAUGAGGAGCUGAAAAGUUGUUAUUUGUUGAAUUUUAGCGAAUGAUUAACCCUUUAUUGUUUCAAGCACUCACUCAGGUCUCAGGUAUGAAAUCUAUCCAUUAUUUUCAAACCUUAGAUUGCAAACCGUGAUUGUAGUGUUAACAUGUGUGUGGCCACAAAUGUGUGUUUUGCCUGUGUGGCCUCAUCGAUCAAGAAUUCAACUUUGUGACAUUCACAUGGUAUGUUUCUCACAUUGUUGAAAAUGAGAAUGCAAUAGUCCUUGAGUUUAAACAUAAAAAUAAGAUGAGUAGUUUAUCACGAUAUCCAAUAUUAAUCGAUGUAUGGUGUUUAAGUUUUGAAAGAUGAUUUUGGGAAGCAAGUAACUAAUGGUGAGGAUAAAAUAUAUAUUUAUUUGCCUUGAUUAGUAAGUUUCUCAAGAGUUACAUUGAGAAUCAAUGCAUUUUCCCAGUGAAUUAGUUUUACGUUUUAUAACACAAAUUUAUCAUUGAUUCACGGUGGAAAACUAGCAGUGUUUAGUCUUGAACUACAUCGAAAAGGGCUGGUUUACUGUUCCGCAUCGCGAAUGGGCAUAUGCUCUCUGUUUUUAUGGGUAGUUUCCUCAAUGAAUUUCUGCAAAUUGUUAACUCUUAAAGUGUUUGCAUGAGUGAUUAUUGUCUUAAUGCAUGAUUCUGAUUAAUUCGUAUAAAAUAUAAGAUUUUCUUGUUCUGUCUGCAAUUACAGUUUGAUUUGAGUUAACAGAGUUUUGGAAAGAAUAGUUUGUUAUUUGCCUUCCUAGUAAAACAUUUCCAGCAACUAUUGACAUCACAUUUUGUUGACCUCAAUCCAUACUCUACAGUCAAACAAUUAAUUUAUUGGAUUCCCCAAAUAAUUUGGAGUUAAUCCUGAAAGUUGAUUUUGUCCCAAGUACCAAAUGCUAGAAUUUACAAAUGUUAUCUCCAGUAAGAAAAUGCGACGUAAUCUACGGCAGUAUAACUCUUUAUUGGUUCCCUCCAUGAUACAAUAACCUAAAAACGUCGUAUAACUCAAAUUCCAUAUUAGUUGAAGAGUCCAAAACUCUACCAAAAGAACGUACACCUUCCUUCAAUAUAAAAUUACUCUUUUUUAUAUAGUGAAUAGUUGAAGACUUAGAAUAUUCUUCUUUGUCUCAACUCUCUCUUUCAAUACACUAACCUCAACGUGCAAUAUACUACUUCUCACCUCUAUUUUUGUCCUAAGACCACCACUAUUUAUAGGUGAAGAAUGUGGGUAAAUGAACAGAGAAAUUAUGCCUUAAAAGUUACAUGAGUAACACAAUACACAAUAAUAAAUAUUAAUUGAUGUAUACUGUUAGGUUUUGAAAAAUAAUUUGGAAAUUAGUAACUAAUGGUGAGGAUAAAAUGUAUAUUUAUUUGCCUUGAUUAGGAAGCUUCUCAAGAGUUUCAUCGAGAAUCUGCUUUUAACCAUGCAUUUUUCCAGUCCAGUGAGUUGGUCAGUGGAAAAUUACGUUUUAUAACCCAAAUUUGUCAUUGAUUUACGGUGGACAACUUGUAUAUUUUAGUCUUAACAGCAUCGGAAAAGGCUAGCUUGGCUACACUAUAUUAAAAAUGAUCAUUAGCGGUACUUAAUUCUUAAUUGCCACUAAAUAUGUAUUUUUAGCGGCAAUUAACACUCUUUGUAUAUGUCCCUGAAGCCUUUAGCGACAUUGGUUCUAAUGACACUGAACUAGUGCCGGUAAAAACUUUAACACUCUUUAUUAAUGUCAAUAUUUAAUGCUACUCAAAGUUAUUUUUGCUGUAGUGCUAGUUGACUCAACUAUUCUGCAUCGUGAACGGGAUCUUUAACUGCAUAAGCUCUCUGUUUUUAUGGGUUGUUUCCUUGUAUUUGACAUUUCCAAGUUGUCCCUCACAAGCGAAUUAAGAGGUGAAUCAUCUAAUCUUGAAAUAGGUCAUGUAAUGCUUUCUCGACUUUUUGUAUAAUCAUUUUGUCAGAUAUUUGAAUCAUACGUUUUAAGGAUUCUGCUUUUCACGUUCAUUCUAUAAGACGAAAAUGAGGUCUUUCCUUUCUAGUUGGAGCAAAAACGUCAAUUCUAAGAAAAGACCAAAAUGAGGUAUUUCCUUUGUCUCAUUUUAAGUAUUGUUUUAGCUUUUUUCGCUCCCAUUAAGUAAAAACAGAUAUUUCCUUUGUCUUUCUUCUUCAAAUCUGUCCAAUAGUUCUUGGUAGUUCAUCUCCUUUUCUUCGGUUUAUUGGAUCUUGUUGACACCAUUAUGUGAUUUUGUUUUGCCAGUUGAACCGGCAGGUGUCUUGGAACAAAUUUCUCAGUAAGAUUAUCUUACUAUCCCAACUAAUAUUCUUUCUUUCAUGCUUCUUUAUGUUAUCGCGAUGUUGCCUAGGAGAAAUAUCUGCAUUUGCAAAACGAUGAUCCAACAUAUCCUCUUCUUCACUUUCCACAAAGAUGUCCUCAUCGUUGUAGGUUAUCAAAUCUAUUUAGAGAGAAAUGACUAUUACCACCAACUUGUAGUUUUUUUAGUUGGCUAACAAAGCCAGUCGAUUUAUUUUCAAAAAAUAAAUGGACUAACAAAUGAUAAAAUGUUUAAAAUCUUGAAUUUCUAUUUCGUAACACUGAAAUGCUAAAGGAGACACAUCACUAAGGAAUAAUGUUACGUUUUUUCUUAUUUUUUCUAAAUUUUGUACGAUUGUGUGCUAGUUAACUCACGAAUACUUUUUUGAAAGACUUCUCCAUCACAAAAUUUUGCCUGCAUCUUUUACAAAAACUAGUCAAUUUCUUGAUUAUGUUAACCAAUUAUUAGGGGGAAUGACAUGUCAAGGAGAAUUAAGGAGACAAGCUAAGGUUAUCUUUUUUUGGUUGAAUGUUUCAUUUAUAUGGUUCAUAUGAAUACAGUAAUUAAAUUCCGCUCGUACUUUACAUAUAUAUAUAUGUAUGUAUGUAUACAUUUAUUUUUUUGUGUAUGUAAGUACAGAUAUAUAACAUAUUGUGACCUUGAUAAAUAAAAUAAAUUAUGAUAAAA